UGGGGAAUCUUGCACAAUGGAGGAAACUCUGAUGCAGCGAUGCCGCGUGAGUGAAGAAGGCCCUUGGGUUGUAAAGCUCUUUCGUCGGGGAAGAAAAUGACUGUACCCGAAUAAGAAGGUCCGGCUAACUUCGUG
RNAcentral lists this ribosomal RNA (135 nucleotides) under uncultured marine bacterium. Its description in RNAcentral is "partial 16S rRNA". It matches the Rfam family "Bacterial small subunit ribosomal RNA", at positions 355 to 507 of the family's 1533-position model. The record is from RNAcentral.